AAGUCGUAACAAGGUUUCCGUAGGUGAACCUGCGGAAGGAUCAUUACUGCUUGCUAAGGGUGCCGCUCUGGGAAACCAAAGCUGUGCCAGGCAUGCUACCCUUGUCUAUACAUACUCUUUGUUACUUCCCUCGGUAGGGCAACCUGCCGCUGGGGACAAUUCAACUCUUUGUAUUAAGUAUCAAAUCAUCUGGAAUAAAAUCUAAUAAUUACAACUUUUAACAAUGGAUCUCUUGGUUCUG
Molecule: unclassified non-coding RNA, 241 nt
Filed under: fungal sp.
Lineage: Eukaryota; Fungi
Description: partial internal transcribed spacer region
Rfam family: Eukaryotic small subunit ribosomal RNA (bases 1-46)
Source: RNAcentral